UACAGAGGGGGCAAGCGUUGUUCGGAAUUACUGGGCGUAAAGGGUGCGUAGGUGGUUGUUUAAGUCUGUUGUGAAAGCCCCGGGCUCAACCUGGGAAUGGCAAUGGAUACUGGACAGCUAGAGUGCGGUAGAGGGUAGUGGAAUUCCCGGUGUAGCAGUGAAAUGCGUAGAGAUCGGGAGGAACACCAGUGGCGAAGGCGGCUACCUGGACCAGCACUGACACUGAAGCACGAAAGCGUGGGGAGCAAACAGG
RNAcentral lists this ribosomal RNA (253 nucleotides) under uncultured bacterium. Its description in RNAcentral is "partial 16S ribosomal RNA". It matches the Rfam family "Bacterial small subunit ribosomal RNA", at positions 524 to 776 of the family's 1533-position model. The record is from RNAcentral.